This 253-nucleotide ribosomal RNA is filed under the name uncultured bacterium. RNAcentral's name for it is "partial 16S ribosomal RNA". It matches the Rfam family "Bacterial small subunit ribosomal RNA", at positions 524 to 776 of the family's 1533-position model. The record is from RNAcentral.
UACGUAGGUGGCAAGCGUUGUCCGGAAUUAUUGGGCGUAAAGAGCUCGUAGGCGGUUUGUCGCGUCUGCCGUGAAAGUCCGGGGCUUAACUCCGGAUCUGCGGUGGGUACGGGCAGACUUGAGUGAUGUAGGGGAGACUGGAAUUCCUGGUGUAGCGGUGAAAUGCGCAGAUAUCAGGAGGAACACCGAUGGCGAAGGCAGGUCUCUGGGCAUUAACUGACGCUGAGGAGCGAAAGCAUGGGGAGCGAACAGG